This 80-nucleotide ribosomal RNA is filed under the name Staphylococcus aureus. RNAcentral describes it as "partial 23S ribosomal RNA". Lineage: Bacteria; Bacillati; Bacillota; Bacilli; Caryophanales; Staphylococcaceae. The record is from RNAcentral.
UGAUGAGGUUAAUAGGUUCGAGGUGGAAGCAUGGUGACAUGUGGAGCUGACGAAUACUAAUCGAUCGAAGACUUAAUCAA